RNAcentral lists this signal recognition particle RNA (148 nucleotides) under Gorilla gorilla gorilla (western lowland gorilla). Its description in RNAcentral is "Metazoan signal recognition particle RNA". It matches the Rfam family "Metazoan signal recognition particle RNA". From Rfam's summary of the family: The signal recognition particle (SRP) is a universally conserved ribonucleoprotein. It is involved in the co-translational targeting of proteins to membranes. The record is from Rfam by way of RNAcentral. Lineage: Eukaryota; Metazoa; Chordata; Mammalia; Primates; Hominidae.
GCUGGGUGUGGUGGUGCACGCCUGUAGUCCCAGUGACUUGGGGGGCUGAGGCAAGAGGAUCACUUGAACCUGGGAGGUCGAGGCUGCAGUGAGCCAAGAUUGUGCCACUGCACUCCAGCCUGGGUGACAAAGUGAGACCCUGUCUCAA